GUGAAUCAUCGAAUUUUUGAACGCAAAUUGCGCUUCCUGGCAUCCCGGGAAGUAUGCCUGUUUGAGGGUCAGUAUUAAUAAAAAAUCGGUUUAGUUACAAAUUGUGACGAUUCCGGAGUUUGGGCUAUCUUAACAUUUUUGUUUAUGAGGUUUAUAAUUGACUUUUUUUGCGAAUUUUUAAACUUGAAUAAAUUUUUUUAUUCGUCUAUUCUUAAUGCCAAUGUCUUAUUAGAUACGAUCACUUCGUCUGGCUUCGUGUCUAU
This 263-nucleotide unclassified non-coding RNA is filed under the name Glomeraceae sp. RNAcentral describes it as "partial contains 5.8S ribosomal RNA and internal transcribed spacer 2". The stretch from base 1 to 71 matches the Rfam family "5.8S ribosomal RNA", at positions 84 to 154 of the family's 154-position model. The record is from RNAcentral. Lineage: Eukaryota; Fungi; Glomeromycota; Glomeromycetes; Glomerales; Glomeraceae.